AUUGAACGCUGGCGGCAUGCCUUACACAUGCAAGUCGAACGGCAGCACGGGUGCUUGCACCUGGUGGCGAGUGGCGAACGGGUGAGUAAUACAUCGGAACAUGUCCUGUAGUGGGGGAUAGCCCGGCGAAAGCCGGAUUAAUACCGCAUACGAUCUACGGAUGAAAGCGGGGGACCUUCGGGCCUCGCGCUAUAGGGUUGGCCGAUGGCUGAUUAGCUAGUUGGUGGGGUAAGGCCUACCAAGGCGACGAUCAGUAGCUGGUCUGAGAGGACGACCAGCCACACUGGGACUGAGACACGGCCCAGACUCCUACGGGAGGCAGCAGUGGGGAAUUUUGGACAAUGGGCGAAAGCCUGAUCCAGCAAUGCCGCGUGUGUGAAGAAGGCCUUCGGGUUGUAAAGCACUUUUGUCCGGAAAGAAAUCCUUGGCCCUAAUACGGUCGGGGGAUGACGGUACCGGAAGAAUAAGCACCGGCUAACUACGUG
This 485-nucleotide ribosomal RNA is filed under the name uncultured bacterium. RNAcentral describes it as "partial 16S ribosomal RNA". It matches the Rfam family "Bacterial small subunit ribosomal RNA", at positions 30 to 507 of the family's 1533-position model. The record is from RNAcentral.